GAUGAACGCUGGCGCCGUGCCUAAUAAAGGCAGGUCGACCGAACAGACGAGAGCCUGGCUCCUCUUAGGUUAGCGGCGGACGGGUGAGUACCCCGUGAAUACCCUCCCUAUAGGACGGGAGUAACUUCGGGAAACCGGGGCAAAUACCGGAUAUUAAAUUAAACCGACGGGUUCAAAGGUGAAAGCCGUUUUUGCUGCCCCUUAUAGAUGGACCCCCGCCCCCUUAGCUAGUUGGUACGGUAACGGCUUCCCAAGGCAACGAUGCGUAGCCGACCUGAGAGGGUGAUCGGCCACACCGGAACUGAGACACGGUCCAGACUCCUACGGGGGCAGCAGUAGGGAAUCUUCCGCAAUGGGCGAAAGCUUGACGGAGCAACGCCGCGUGAGUGAUGAAGGUCUUCGGAUCGUAAAACUCUGUUAUUAGGGAAGAACAAAUGUGUAAGUAACUAUGCACGUCUUGACGGUACCUAAUCAGAAAGCCACGGCUAACUACGUG
RNAcentral lists this ribosomal RNA (496 nucleotides) under uncultured bacterium. RNAcentral's name for it is "partial 16S ribosomal RNA". It matches the Rfam family "Bacterial small subunit ribosomal RNA", at positions 28 to 507 of the family's 1533-position model. The record is from RNAcentral.